This is a long non-coding RNA of Asparagus officinalis (garden asparagus), 541 nucleotides long. RefSeq lists it as uncharacterized. Lineage: Eukaryota; Viridiplantae; Streptophyta; Magnoliopsida; Asparagales; Asparagaceae. The transcript has 2 exons. The record is from RefSeq and is a predicted model, not a curated record.
GCCUAGCCGCGAUUAACCCCAAAAAGAUCAUUUUUUUAACCCUCCUGUUUCUCUUUAUUUCCCACCAUUUUUACGAUUAAAGAAGCCAAAUCCAACCUCUAAUCAAAUCUCAAAUCUCCCGCCUCGGCGGUGGAGGCGGUUAGGGCUGACGUGGAGGCAGACUCCGUGCAGCCUACAGGCGACGAUGAUGGCCGCGAUGUGUUAGGUUGCACUUGGAGACGAUUGUAACUCAAAAAAAGACCAUUAAAAUCGGGAAAGCAAGCUCAGAAGCUAGCGAAUGAUAUUUAAUUACACCCACUUAAUUAUGCUUGGGAUCAUCAGAACAAUUCAUGGAGUUUGCCAGACUGUACUCGAGCUGCUCAUCCUAUGGAACUAAUGCCAGGACCCUUCUGCCAUUGAUUUUUCAUUGGUAAAGGAACAAUGACUUUUUCCUGUUUAAUGUUUUGUGCAAAUUAUGUAUUUAUGAUUUCUUAGUUCUUACAAUUUCAUAGAUCUGUCCAUAUCUCAUCUAUGUAUAGUUGUAAAUUUUUUUUUUGAAGUA